CGGCGCGUAGCGCAGCCUGGUAGCGCGCUUGGUUCGGGACCAAGAAGUCGCUGGUUCAAAUCCAGUCGCGCCGACCA
This 77-nucleotide transfer RNA is filed under the name Proteobacteria bacterium SG_bin7. RNAcentral describes it as "tRNA-Pro". It matches the Rfam family "tRNA". Rfam says of the family: Transfer RNA (tRNA) molecules are approximately 80 nucleotides in length. Their secondary structure includes four short double-helical elements and three loops (D, anti-codon, and T loops). Lineage: Bacteria; Pseudomonadati; Pseudomonadota. The record is from RNAcentral.